This 20-nucleotide small nuclear RNA is filed under the name Phaeodactylum tricornutum CCAP 1055/1. RNAcentral's name for it is "snRNA PTsRNA00036a". The record is from RNAcentral. Lineage: Eukaryota; Bacillariophyta; Bacillariophyceae; Surirellales; Neidiaceae.
UCAAAUCCCUCUCGCGUCAC